RNAcentral lists this ribosomal RNA (475 nucleotides) under Ornithuroscincus noctua. RNAcentral describes it as "Lipinia noctua partial 16S ribosomal RNA". It matches the Rfam family "Bacterial large subunit ribosomal RNA", at positions 1922 to 2597 of the family's 2925-position model. Lineage: Eukaryota; Metazoa; Chordata; Lepidosauria; Squamata; Scincidae. The record is from RNAcentral.
UUUUAACGGCCGCGGUAUUCUAACCGUGCAAAGGUAGCGUAAUCACUUGUCUUCUAAAUAAAGACCAGUAUGAACGGCUAAAUGAGGACUAGCCUGUCUCCUAUGUCCAAUCAGUGAAACUGAUCUUCCAGUCCAAAAGCUGGAAUACUAACACAAGACGAGAAGACCCUGUGGAGCUUUAGACCCCCUACUAAUAAACAAACAUGUAACUAGUACAAGUCUUAAGUUGGGGCGACUUCGGAAAAAAGAAAAACUUCCGAGCAAAGAACCACCACUUCUAGCCCAGGAUUACAAGCCAAGGCCAAAAAUUGACCCAGUCUUACUGACCAACGAACCAAGUUACCCCAGGGAUAACAGCGCUAUCUUCUUCAAGAGUCCCUAUCGACAAGAAGGUUUACGACCUCGAUGUUGGAUCAGGACACCCCAAUGGUGCAGCCGCUAUUAAAGGUUCGUUUGUUCAACGAUUAAUAGUCCU